Molecule: ribosomal RNA, 353 nt
Filed under: uncultured bacterium
Lineage: Bacteria
Description: bacterial SSU rRNA
Rfam family: Bacterial small subunit ribosomal RNA
Source: RNAcentral
AAGGUAGUGUAGUUAACACCUGCAUUAUUUGACGUUACCUACAGAAGAAGCACCGGCUAACUCCGUGCCAGCAGCCGCGGUAAUACGGGAGGGUGCGAGCGUUAAUCGGAAUUACUGGGCGUAAAGCGCAUGCAGGCGGCCUGUUAAGUCAGAUGUGAAAGCCCGGGGCUUAACCUCGGAAUUGCAUUUGAAACUGGCAGGCUAGAGUCUUGUAGAGGGGGUAGAAUUUCAGGUGUAGCGGUGAAAUGCGUAGAGAUCUGAAGGAAUACCAGUGGCGAAGGCGGCCCCCUGGACAAAGACUGACGCUCAGAUGCGAAAGCGUGGGGAGCAAACAGGAUUAGAUACCCUGGUAG